Long non-coding RNA from Mus musculus (house mouse), 230 nucleotides. RefSeq annotates it as predicted gene, 41488. Lineage: Eukaryota; Metazoa; Chordata; Mammalia; Rodentia; Muridae. The transcript has 2 exons. The record is from RefSeq and is a predicted model, not a curated record.
UCAGGGUGCCACAGUUUACUGGCCAACAACACUGCAUAGCUGAGAUAACUGUGCUCAUACGUUAGGAUCCAAGUUUCAGAUUUAAACCUCUCAGCGACUUCUCCAUCAUUAUGUCUGCCUGCAUGCCAUCAUGAUUCCCUUCAUGAUGAAGUAGGACUACAUCUCUGAAUGAUAUAUCUUCACAGCAAUAGAACAUUGGCUGAGGUGUAUGAUAAAGGAAAGAGCUGAUA